RNAcentral lists this ribosomal RNA (253 nucleotides) under uncultured bacterium. RNAcentral describes it as "partial 16S ribosomal RNA". It matches the Rfam family "Bacterial small subunit ribosomal RNA", at positions 524 to 776 of the family's 1533-position model. The record is from RNAcentral.
UACGGAGGGUGCAAGCGUUAUCCGGAUUCACUGGGUUUAAAGGGUGCGUAGGCGGGCAUUUAAGUCAGUGGUGAAAUACCUGAGCUUAACUUGGGAACUGCCAUUGAUACUAUUUGUCUUGAAUGUCGUGGAGGUUAGCGGAAUAUGUCAUGUAGCGGUGAAAUGCUUAGAUAUGACAUAGAACACCCAUUGCGAAGGCAGCUUACUACGGGAUCAUUGACACUGAGGCACGAAAGCGUGGGGAUCAAACAGG